UGGGGAAUCUUGGACAAUGGGGGCAACCCUGAUCCAGCCAUGCCGCGUGAGUGAUGAAGGCCUUAGGGUCGUAAAGCUCUUUCGCCUGUGAAGAUAAUGACGGUAGCAGGUAAAGAAACCCCGGCUAACUCCGUGCCAGCAGCCGCGGUAAUACGGAGGGGACUAGCGUUGUUCGGAAUUACUGGGCGUAAAGAGUUCGUAGGCGGACUAGCAAGUUAGAGGUGAAAUCCCAGGGCUCAACCUUGGAACUGCCUUUAAAAGCUGCUAGUCUAGAGACCGGAAGAGGUUAGGGGAAUACCUAGUGUAGAGGUGAAAUUCGUAGAUAUUUGGAGGAACACCAGUGGCGAAGGCGGCUCACUGGCUCGAUACUGACGCUGAGGUGCG
Molecule: ribosomal RNA, 384 nt
Filed under: uncultured bacterium
Lineage: Bacteria
Description: bacterial SSU rRNA
Rfam family: Bacterial small subunit ribosomal RNA
Source: RNAcentral